RNAcentral lists this ribosomal RNA (730 nucleotides) under uncultured bacterium. RNAcentral's name for it is "bacterial SSU rRNA". It matches the Rfam family "Bacterial small subunit ribosomal RNA", at positions 771 to 1501 of the family's 1533-position model. The record is from RNAcentral.
AACAGGAUUAGAUACCCUGGUAGUCCACGCCGUAAACGAUGUCGACUUGGAGGUUGUGCCCUUGAGGCGUGGCUUCCGGAGCUAACGCGUUAAGUCGACCGCCUGGGGAGUACGGCCGCAAGGUUAAAACUCAAAUGAAUUGACGGGGGCCCGCACAAGCGGUGGAGCAUGUGGUUUAAUUCGAUGCAACGCGAAGAACCUUACCUGGUCUUGACAUCCACGGAAGUUUUCAGAGAUGAGAAUGUGCCUUCGGGAACCGUGAGACAGGUGCUGCAUGGCUGUCGUCAGCUCGUGUUGUGAAAUGUUGGGUUAAGUCCCGCAACGAGCGCAACCCUUAUCCUUUGUUGCCUGCGGUCCGGCCGGGAACUCAAAGGAGACUGCCAGUGAUAAACUGGAGGAAGGUGGGGAUGACGUCAAGUCAUCAUGGCCCUUACGACCAGGGCUACACACGUGCUACAAUGGCGCAUACAAAGAGAAGCGACCUCGCGAGAGCAAGCGGACCUCAUAAAGUGCGUCGUAGUCCGGAUUGGAGUCUGCAACUCGACUCCAUGAAGUCGGAAUCGCUAGUAAUCGUGGAUCAGAAUGCCACGGUGAAUACGUUCCCGGGCCUUGUACACACCGCCCGUCACACCAUGGGAGUGGGUUGCAAAAGAAGUAGGUAGCUUAACCUUCGGGAGGGCGCUUACCACUUUGUGAUUCAUGACUGGGGUGAAGUCGUAACAAGGUAACC